Molecule: long non-coding RNA, 684 nt
Organism: Agrilus planipennis (emerald ash borer)
Lineage: Eukaryota; Metazoa; Arthropoda; Insecta; Coleoptera; Buprestidae
Exons: 4
Source: RefSeq, a predicted model, not a curated record
UACACAAAUCUGGAUAGCAUAUGUCGUGAGGUAUUUCCUGCGUGAAAAUCUUCUUGUACUUCACAACGUGCUGUACGCUUUGCCUGGAGGAACGAAGAAACUGCCUUUUUUCCACUGGAAGCAGACAACGUCGAAUCUGCUGCUAAAGGAAGGAUUUAUAACAAUGAAUUGGUAACAUCUUGAGUGGCACCACCAUAAAGGAGAAUGCCACGUGUCACGAAGUGUUGGAUCAUAUCAGUUCUCUUUCACUUCAGGAUAUAGCGGUACCUGAAGGAUGCAUAAAAGUGCUUUUACCUGUUGGAAUCAAAAGAAAUGUGUUGCAGCAAGUAUUUUUAUGGCAAUGAAUUGGUUGGUUAAACGAACGAUAUAAGGGCGUUCAGGUUAAUUAGGUGCUACUGAUGUGCCAACAAUUGCACCAUUCAUUCUGGUCUUGGACUGCUUUUAACAUCAAUUCCUUCAACAUUAUGCAUCUAAUUCCUGAUGGAUGAGUAACAACCCCUGGAAUUUUCAUUCGUCCUGAAAUAGCAAAUGUCCUCAUUCCUGGUGGCUUUGAUCUGCUUUUCACAUUAUUAAACUUUGGAACGUAACAUUCUGCAGCUAAUCAAGAUCAACGGUGGAAAAGACAAAGAAGAUCCCGUAGUUAAAAUACUUCCUUAUUUUGCAUGUUUUUUUAUUAGAAUUAGU